GCCCCCGGAAUUGUAGUCUAGAAAGGCGCCAUCGGCCGCGCCCGCCGCUCAAAUCCCUUGGAACAGGGUAUCGGAGAAGGUGAGAAUCCUGUACCGUGGCGGUCCGCGGCCGCACGAUGCGCCCUUGCAGAGUCGGGUUGCUUGGGAUUGCAGCUUGAAGUGGGUGGUAAAUUCCAUCUAAAGCUAAAUAUUGGCUCAUGACCGAUAGCGAACAAGUACCGUGAGGGAAAGAUGCAAAGAACUUUGAAAAGAGAGUCAAAGAGUGCUUGAAAUUGGUUGGAGGAAACCCGUAUGUGCCCAGUAUCGACGUACCGACUCAGCCGCGCGCGAGCUUGAUGAGGACCGCAAGGCUUCUGUGCUGUAGCGCGUGGUGCACUUUGGUGCGUCGGGUUAGCCGCGGUUCUGCUGGCGGGAGAAAUACGAUAAGCAGACCUCCGGUUGCUUCCGAAUCGCCGCGCGCGGGACCCCGGCUGACUGAAUGGGCCCAUCCGACCCGUCUAGAAACACGGACCAAGGAGUCUGACACGUGUGCGAGUACCCGGGUGGCAAGCCCGCGUGCGCAAUGAAAGUAAAGGGCGUGCCCCGCCAACCGACCUUGAUCUUCUGUGAAGGGUUUGAGUGGAGCACAUCUGUCGGGACCCGAAAGAUGGUGAACUAUGCCUGAGGAGGGUGAAGCCAGAGGAAACUCUGGUGGAGGCUCGUAGCGAUACUGACGUGCAAAUCGUUCGUCACACUUGGGUAUAGGGGCGAAAGACUAAUCGAACCAUCUAGUAGCUGGUUCCCUCCGAAGUUUCCCUCAGGAUAGCUUGAACGCAACGGUUUUGU
RNAcentral lists this ribosomal RNA (825 nucleotides) under Haptophyta environmental samples. Its description in RNAcentral is "eukaryotic LSU rRNA". It matches the Rfam family "Eukaryotic large subunit ribosomal RNA", at positions 133 to 1004 of the family's 3401-position model. Lineage: Eukaryota; Haptophyta. The record is from RNAcentral.